This 255-nucleotide ribosomal RNA is filed under the name uncultured bacterium. RNAcentral's name for it is "partial 16S ribosomal RNA". It matches the Rfam family "Bacterial small subunit ribosomal RNA", at positions 524 to 777 of the family's 1533-position model. The record is from RNAcentral.
UACGGAGGGGGCUAGCGUUGUUCGGAUUUACUGGGCGUAAAGGGCGCGCAGGCGGCCAUUCAAGUCAGGCGUGAAAGCCCCGGGCUUAACCUGGGAGGUGCGUCUGGGACUGGGUGGCUAGAGAUCGGGAGAGGAGAGUGGAAUCCCAGUUGUAGAGGUGAAAUUCGUAGAUAUUGGGAAGAACACCGGUGGCGAAGGCGGCUCUCUGGACCGAUACUGACGCUGAGGCGCGAAAAGCGUGGGGAGCAAACAGGG